Vicia villosa (hairy vetch) is the source of this 2061-nucleotide RNA transcript. RefSeq lists it as uncharacterized. The transcript is spliced from 8 exons. The record is from RefSeq and is a predicted model, not a curated record. Lineage: Eukaryota; Viridiplantae; Streptophyta; Magnoliopsida; Fabales; Fabaceae.
AAAAACAUGUUCCCUUUCUCAUUCUCUCUUUCUCCUGUUUCUCCUCUUUCUCUCUCUACACUCGUUUUCUGGUUUGAGAAACCAUUGCAACAGAACUCCUCGAUCUCUCAUUUCAAAUCAAGAUCGUUUCGUUGACUGGCGAGUCUGAUGCAAACUUUCAAGAUCGGUGAAACUUUAGCUUCGUUUUCUUCAGAUCUAGUUGAUUCUCUACCUCAUGCUUUCAAUUCGAAGCUCAAAUCACUCUAUUCGAUUCCUCUCCAGGUCUGAGUUUAUUGGUUUUCAAUUUUAUUGAGAUGUCGAGGUUGAAGACUGCAUCAUAUUGGAAAUUGGUCUCGGCCUUCUAGUUCUUGUAUGAAUUCAGGAUUCCGAGUCUGAUGCCGAUGCCGAUUACUUUGUUUUAUAUAUCUAAUUUUUAAAUUUAACAGAUAUUGAAAGGUGUUGAACAUGAGGUUGUUUUCAAAUGAAGAUAAUGGAAAAGCGUGGGAUCAUAGUGUCAUGUAGAAAAAUUAUCAAGUUUUAUAAUCGCUUAUUCUAUAAGUUGUAAAUUAAUUGUUUAUCCAAACAAGACUUAUGAAAUAAGUAAUUAUGUGAUAAUGUUUGGUUAUGCUUAAUUAAGUUGUUUAUCUAAACAUGGUCUAAUUGCUAGAUUACGGGUUUGUACAGUGAGUCACUUUACGUUGUAUGGAUUAUUGAAGAGUAACAAGUCAGAUUUCCAUGUGGCAAUGGCGCUUCAAAGAGCCAGAACCUUCUAUGCCUCUUUAUUGGACAGGUUUAGGAAUGCUUAUAACUCUGAUUCAAUCAAGACAGUUUUAUAAUGCCAACAAAUCACAACCAACCUAUGUGUGAUUUUAGAAGUAGUUUGUGAAAUUGAUACUUUGACUUCUCAUUAAGUAACUAGUCGCGUGCAAUAAAGAGAGUUACGAAGAAAUGAUAAAGAUAAAUGAAAAUGAGAGAUAUAAUCAGGUGAGAUAUAGGAGUUUUAAAAUGCUAAUCACCUGAGGUGGAGAAUCUCUUACUUGAAGUUCUUUUAGAAAAUCUCAUUGCUUGCAUAUCCAUACAUGUUAAUGAGAUUAGCAUAGGAAUUAUCGGAAACCUUACCUGCCACGAAGUUCCAAUGAAGCGUAAAUAAGGAUAUGUGACAACAGCUAAAGGAAAUGAGCUUGUGGAUUACUUUUUGAAGCGCGAGCUACUAAUGGGAAUGGGAAUAUAUUGUGAAGGAUAUGUUUUGUUUUCUAGGGGACUAAAAUUAGCGAUACAUUUAAUAGAAAGUGAUAAAUUAUUUGAAAGAGUAUUUUUCAAUAGUAAAUAUUUCCCAUACUUCUUCUAUACAUAGUUAUCUUUUCCUCUUUUAGAUAGUAUUUGACUUUAUUUGUAAAAGUUUUUUGUUGUACUUUUGUGGUGGCUCCUCGUUGUCUAAUGCACAGGGAGGGGGGAACUUUUGAGGAGCAACCGACUUAUGAUCUUGCUAUGUAUUUGUUACCCUAGGAUUUCGACUUACUAAAUAAAUGGGCAACUAAGGCCCAAAAUUGGCAAUCGGGCCUCAAUUUGGUGAGAAGGCCCUAAAUUGGUAAUUGGGCCUCAAUUAAAUAAUUACAUUGCCAUUUGGGUCGAAGUGGUUCGACCAAAUAACGCUUAGUAGUCGAAGCUGUUCGACUAGAAAGAUGAUCAGAGGCUUCAGCGUUCGACCAAACCAAAAGGAUGCGAAGACUUAAGGAUUUUUGGCUGCAGAAACUGAAGUGGAGGUCGAGAGGCAGUAGAAGUUAAGAGGCAGUUCCAGGCAGUUUUUCUGGCAGUUCUCACAGGACGCGUGGAAGUCUCACAAUUGAAGAUCUUGCAUGUCGAAGACACGUGUUGACUGAUAGCCAGUCGACCGUUAGUAGUAGUUAUUUUAUUUUUCUAUUUAACCAAGUUUUAUAGGAAUAGUUAGGGGUCCGCAUUUUCUACAUAAACACAAGUAAACUCAAAUCUCUGCGCAAUGAGUAACGAGUGCGACUUCGGAAUGUACGUAUGCGUACCAGUUUAAUUAAAUGCAAUCAUUUUACACUACAUUUUAUCUUUCAG